AAAGAUCUAAAUAGAUAUUAAAUUUUUUGUUUCAAAAAAAUUUUAUAUGUCUAUUUAGUUGUGAAAUUCUAAUCGCUUUUAUUAAUAUCUAGUAACUUUAGAAAUAAAUUUAGUUUAGAAUAAUUAGGAAAAUUUUAUUUAUAAUUUUUUCUAAAAUUAUUUUUAAAUUUUUGGGGAUGAGCUCAGAAAUUAUAAUAUAAGGAUAAAUUUUCAUAUUUUUUUUAUAGGCUUAGAAUUAGCCAAUAGAAAGUGUUAUAAAAUAUAACUAUAAGUUUUUGAUUUUUUUUUCUUUUUUUUCUAUAAAGUUAAUUAAAAAAUUUUUUAUACUUUGAAAAUAUGAUAACAUUAGUAGAUAAAUUUAUAAAGAAUAUUUUUUAAAUUUUUCUUAAAAAUUUUUAUUAAUUAUUGUAACAAAAGAACUCGGCAAAAAAAAUUUCCGAAUGUUUAACAAAAACAUUUCCUCUUAGAAUGGGAGGUAAGGCCUGCUCACUGAGGUUUUAAAGAGCCGCAGUAUCCUAACUGUGCUAAGGUAGCAUAAUCAUUAGUCUUUUAAUUGGAGACUGGUAUGAAUGGCUUAACGAGAAAUUAACUUUUUUUGUUAUAAAUAUUGAAUUUAAUUUUUUAGUGAAAAAGCUAAAAUUUUUCAGAAAGACGAGAAGACCCUAUAGAGUUUUAUGUUUUUGUAUAUUAUAUUUUAUUAGAUUUGCAAUAAUUAGGUAUUAUAAAACAUUUUGUUGGGGCGACAUUUAGAUAUAAAAAACUCUUUAUUUUAAAAAUUUUUAUGAAAAGAUAAUUGAUCCUUUAAAAAAGAUCAAAAGAAAAAAUUACCUUAGGGAUAACAGCGUAAUCUUUUUUGAGAGUUCUAAUCGACAAAAAGGUUUGCGACCU
Molecule: ribosomal RNA, 888 nt
Filed under: Galkinius equus
Lineage: Eukaryota; Metazoa; Arthropoda; Thecostraca; Balanomorpha; Pyrgomatidae
Description: partial 16S large subunit ribosomal RNA
Rfam family: Archaeal large subunit ribosomal RNA (bases 399-638)
Source: RNAcentral